RNAcentral lists this ribosomal RNA (253 nucleotides) under uncultured bacterium. Its description in RNAcentral is "partial 16S ribosomal RNA". It matches the Rfam family "Bacterial small subunit ribosomal RNA", at positions 524 to 776 of the family's 1533-position model. The record is from RNAcentral.
GACGUAGGGCGCGAGCGUUGUCCGGAUUUAUUGGGCGUAAGGAGCUCGUAGGCGGCUUGUCGCGUCGUCCGUGAAAACCUGGGGCUCAACUGUGGGCUUGCAGCUGAUACGGGCAGGCUUGAGUUCGGUAGGGGAGACUGGAAUUCCUGGUGUAGCGGUGAAAUGCGCAGAUAUCAGGAGGAACACCGGUGGCGAAGGCGGGUCUCUGGGCCGAUACUGACGCUGAGGAGCGAAAGCGUGGGGAGCGAACAGG